AAGCAGCCAGACAGCUUCCACAGAUAUAAAGCUGCUGGUCGGAGAGCGGAGACAGCAACAGAAACAGAUCAGACCGCAGCAGAAGAUCCAGAGAGGAAGGAGAAGAUCAAUCCUCUUCACAACACAGACCACUCAGCACUCAACUACGAGCGUCUCCAGUGAAAAUGUCUGCAGCUAAAGGCGUAGCGAUCGGCAUCGACCUGGGCACCACCUACUCCUGUGUGGGGGUUUUCCAGCACGGAAAAGUAGAAAUCAUCGCCAACGACCAGGGCAACAGGACCACCCCCAGCUAUGUGGCGUUCACCGACACCGAAGGCUGAUCGGGGACGCGGCCAAGAACCAGGUGGCUCUGAACCCCAGCAACACUGUGUUUGAUGCCAAGAGACUGAUUGGAAGAAAGUUGGAUGAUCCAGUGGUGCAGGCUGACAUGAAGCACUGGCCCUUCAAGGUGGUUGGAGAUGGAGGGAAGCCCAAAAUCCAGGUGGAAUACAAAGGGGGAGGACAAACCUUCUACCCCCGAGGAGAUCUCCUCCAUGGUCCUCCUGAAGAUGAAGGAGAUCGCGAAGCCUACCUCGGCCACCAGGUGUCCAACGCGGUCGUCACGGUCCCGGCGUACUUCAACGACUCCCAGCGACAGGCCACGAAAGACGCGGGCGUCAUCGCCGGACUGAACGUCCUGAGGAUCAUCAACGAGCCGACGGCGGCCGCCAUCGCGCGUACGGUCUGGACAAAGGCAAGAGCGGAGAACGCAACGUCCUGAUCUUUGACCUGGGCGGAGGCACCUUCGACGUGUCCAUCCUGACCAUCGAAGACGGUAUCUUUGAGGUCAAAGCCACGGCCGGAGACACUCACCUGGGCGGGGAAGACUUUGACAACCGCAUGGUCAACCACUUUGUGGAGGAAUUCAAGAGGAAACACAAGAAGGACAUCAGCCAGAACAAGAGAGCCUUGAGGAGGCUGCGCACAGCUUGUGAGAGGGGCCAAGAGAACCCUGUCCUCCAGCUCCCAGGCCAGCAUCGAGAUUGAUUCUCUGUUUGAGGGCAUCGACUUCUACACCUCCAUCACCAGGGCUCGCUUUGAGGAGCUGUGCUCCGACCUGUUCAGGGGAACGUUGGAGCCGGUGGAGAAAGCCCCUGAGGGACGCCAAAUGGACAAGGUGCAGAUCCACGACAUCGUCCUGGUGGGAGGCUCCACCCGCAUCCCCAAAAUCCAGAAACUGCUGCAGGAUUUCUUCAACGGCAGGGAGCUGAACAAGAGCAUCAACCCAGAUGAGGCGGUGGCUGACGGUGCCGCCGUCCAGGCCGCCAUUCUCACGGGCGACACCUCUGGCAACGCUCAGGACCUGCUGCUGCUGGACGUGGCACCUCUGUCCCUGGGUAUCGAGACCGCCGGAGGAGUCAUGACCUCCCUGAUCAAACGCAACACCACCAUCCCCACCAAACAGACCCAGACCUUCAGCACCCUACGCGGACAACCAGCCCGGGGUCCUGAUCCAGGUCUACGAAGGGGAAAGAGCCAUGACCAAGGACAACAACCUGCUGGGCAAGUUUGAGUUGACGGGAAUCCCGCCCGCUCCACGGGGGGGUCCCGUAGAUCGAGGUCACCUUCGACGGGACGCCAACGGCAUUUUGAACGUGACUGCGGUGGACAAAAGCACCGGCAAAGAGAACAAGAUCACCAUCACCAACGAUAAGGGCCGUCUGAGCAAAGAAGAGAUCGAGAGGAUGGUGCAGGACGCCGACAGAUACAAAGCCGAGGACGACCUUCAGAGGGAGAAGAUCGCUGCCAAGAACUCCCCUGGAGUCCUACGCUUCAACAUGAAGGGCAGCGUGCAGGACGAGAACCUGAAGGGCAAAAUUAGUGAGGAGGACCAGAAGAAGGUGAUUGAGAAGUGUGACGAGAUCAUCGGCUGGCUGGAGAACAACCAGCUGGCUGAUAAAGAGGAGUACCAACACCAGCAGAAAGAGCUGGAGAAAGUGUGUAACCCCGUCAUCAGCAAGUUGUAUCAGGGAGGAAUGCCCACUGGUAGCUGCAGAGAGCAGGCACGAGCCGGCUCCCAGGGGCCCACCAUUGAGGAGGUG
RNA transcript from Dicentrarchus labrax (European seabass), 2081 nucleotides. It is a transcript of the gene named heat shock 70 kDa protein 1-like, with no coding region annotated. NCBI's taxonomy places the organism in Eukaryota, Metazoa, Chordata, Actinopteri, Moronidae. The transcript has 2 exons. The record is from RefSeq and is a predicted model, not a curated record.